ACCUGAGGUUGUGCAUUUCUAA
RNAcentral lists this microRNA (22 nucleotides) under Homo sapiens (human). Its description in RNAcentral is "hsa-miR-544b". Its record names the gene hsa-miR-544b. The record is from miRBase by way of RNAcentral. Lineage: Eukaryota; Metazoa; Chordata; Mammalia; Primates; Hominidae.